RNAcentral lists this ribosomal RNA (366 nucleotides) under Conus tinianus. RNAcentral's name for it is "partial 12S ribosomal RNA". Lineage: Eukaryota; Metazoa; Mollusca; Gastropoda; Neogastropoda; Conidae. The record is from RNAcentral.
AGUAGUAAAUUUAAUUUAAGUUUACCAGAGUACUACGAAUAAAAAAUUUAAAACUCAAAGAGCUUGGCGGUGUUUUAGACCUCUCAGGGGAACCUGUCUCGUAAUCGACAAUCCACGCUAUACCUGGCCCUUUAUAGCAAUUCAGUCUGUAUACCGUUGUCGUCAGGUAACUUCUUAAAAUAUAGUAGUUAGCUCGAGAAUUUUAUUAAUUAAUACGUCAGAUCAAGGUGCAGCUAAUAAAAGGGAGAGGAUGGGUUACAAUUAUAUAUUUAUAAUUACGGAAGAUAUUUCAAAAGAAAUACUCGGAAGGAGGACUUGAAAGUAAUUUUGAUUAGAUAAACAGAAUGAAUAAGGCUCUGAAACGUG